CCUCCAGCCGCGGACAGCAGAGGAGCGACGGGGGGCAGGGGUUGGAAAGGGCCUCCGAGAGGCACGUUUAGCAGGAGUGGGCUGGGGGUUGCAAAGGUAGGGUAUGUGCAACUCCGGGUUGUGGUUGAGCCACUGUCCCCUUUGAACCCCAGGCUGGGCCUUUUCUACCUUCCACUCAGCCUUGGCUACCGCAGUCUUGCUCAGAAACCCGACUCCUGAAGUUCUCGGCGAAAUGCGGACCCCGCGUCUUGAGGCACGCUGGGAAAUGGAGUUCUGACUACGCGAUAGUAGCCUGGGCAGACGCCACGUGAUGCCGCGAGGUCUCACGGGAAUUGUAGUCUGUGAUUUUUUUUUUUUUUUUUUUUUUUUUCCAACUCGUGGUUUUAGGUUUUGAAGCAGAAUGAUGCAAAAAACAAACAAACAAAACAAAACAAAAAACCACCGCCGGGAAUUCCUGCGCAGUUGGGACUGCUGUUAUUUGUUGCAUUUUAUUGUCAUCUAGCUGAAUUCCUUUAUUUUAUAUAGGAGAAAAUGGAAGCCCAUUUCAUUUACUGAAUACAUAAUUACUGAGCGCAGACCAGUCCUGAAUAAAGCAGGCCCUGUCUCAAGGAGUGUACAGAACCCUGAAGAUGAGCAAAAGCUUGGAACUUUCAGUUAUGCCCUCAUUCUCUUGAGAAGGGAGAGGGGCUGAAAAUGAAGUUAAUGAUCGAUCAUGCCUACAUGAUGAAGUUUCCAUCAAAUCCCAAAAGUAUGGAGUUUGGAGAGCUUCUGGGUUGGUGAACAUGUGGAGGUACCGGGAGAGUGCCAUGCUGGAGAGCCCCUUCCCAUAUACCUUGCUUUAUCUCUUCUAUAUGGAUGCUCAGCUGUAUCCUUUAUCAUAUCCUUUUAUAAUAAACUGGUAAAUGUAAGUAAAAUAUUACCUUGAGUUCUGUGAGCUGCUCUAGCAAAUUUAUAGAGCCCAAAGGAGGGGUCAGUGGAACCUCAAUUUAUAAUCAGUUGGUCAGAAGCACAGGUGACAGACAACCUGGGCUUGUGGCUGGCAUCUUAAGCGUGUGUGUGUGUGUGUGUGUGUGUGUGUGUGUGUGUGUGUGUGUGUUGGGGUGGGUGGGGCACAGUGUUAUAGGACCGAGCCCUUUAACCUGUGGGAUCUGAUGCUAUCUCUGGGUAGAGAGUGUCAGAACUGAAUUAAAUUGUAGGCCAGGGGUGUGGGGGCGCCUGGGUGGCUAAGUCAUUUAAGCACCCAACUUCAGCUCAGGUCGUGAUCUCAUGGUUUGUGAGUUCAAGCCCCGCAUGGUGUGAGGUCCAGCCCGACUUUGGGGCUUCGAGCUGACAGUGCAGAGCCUGUGUGGGAUUCUCUCCCUCUCUCUCUCUCUCUCUCUCUCUCUCUCUGCCCUUCCUCACAUGCACGCUCUCUCUCUCUCAAAAAUAAAUAAAAAUAAACUCAUAAAAAAAAUUGCAGACCACCCAGCUGGUGUUGCAGAAAAUUGCUUGGUGUGGGGAAAAAGCACACAUUUGGAAGUGAAGUGUUUUAUGUGACUAGUGAAGGAGAUUCACAGGGAAGAAACACACAGGAGAUAGACUGAAGUAAGGUUUUCCCUGACACAAGUGGAAAAUUAAGUUUUUCCAAUAUAUGAUCCCUCAUUCUGAUACACAGAUUAUCCAAAUGUUAACAUUUCAUCAGGUUUGCUUUAUUUCUAUGUAUCUAUCUACACACAUACAAUUUUUUUGCUGAACCAUUUGAGCAUAAGUUUCAGAGAUAAAGCCCCAUUUACCUCUAAGUACUUGGGAUGGUUAAUUUUAUGUGUCAAAUUGACUGGGCUAUUGGGUGCCCAGAUAUGGGGUCAAACAUUAUUCUCGGUCUUUUUGUAAGGGUGUUUUGGGAUGAGGUUAACAUUUAAAUUGGCAAAUCAGAUUGCCCUUCCUAAUGUGGGGGGGCCUCGUCAGUCAGAGGCCUGAAUAGAACAAAAUGGCUGACCAUCUUUGAGAAAGAGAGUUCUUUCCUGCCUGAGUGCCUCUGAUUUGGGACACUGGCUUUUUUCCUGCCUUUGGACUCAAACUGAAACAUUGACUCUUCCUGGGUCUUCAGCCUGCUGGCCUGCAGACUGGAAUUGCAGCAUUGGUUCUCUUUGUUCUCAGGCCUUUGGACUUGGACUGGAACUACACCGUCAGCUCUCCCGGUUUCCAGCUUGCUGACUCACCUGGCAGAUCUUGGGACUUGUUAGCCUACAUAAUCGUGUGAGCCAAUUCCUUAUAAUAAAUCCUUCUCUAUCUCUCUCUCCGUAUAUUUCCUAUGUGUCUGUUUCUCUGGAGAACUCUGAUAUUUACUAAUGAGUAUUUAGUUAAAAAAAAAAGACAUUUUCUCACAUAACCACAAUGUAAUUGUCACACUCGGGAAAUUGACAUUGAUACAGUACUAUUAUCUAAUAUACAGAUCUUAUUCAAAAUUUGUUAAUUUUCCCACUAGUGUCUUUUGUAUAAAAUGAAAAAAAAAAAUGUUCUGGUUCAGGAUCCAAUCUGGGAUCACAUGUUGUAUUUAGUUGUUAGAUCUCUUUGGUCUCCAUUAAUCAGGAAUAGUUCCUUAGUCUUUGUCUUUCAUGACUUUGAUAUUGUUGGAGAGUACAGAACAUUUAUUGUGUAAUGUCCCUCAAUUUGGGUUUGUCUGCAGAUUUAGGAUAUGCAUUUUUGGCAAGAAUACUGCCAAAUGAUAUUAAGUCCUUCUCAGUGAACCAUAACAGUGGGCAUUAGCUUGAUUUGUCUUAUUGCUGAUGAUAAUUCUGAUCAUUUGUUAAAGGGAUAUCUUUAAGUUUCUCCAUUGUAAAAUUCUUUUUCCAUUUGUAAUUGUGGGUGAUAUUUUGAGUCUAUGUACUAUCUUGUUUCUCAUUAAGCUUUUGUCUACUAAUUUUAGCAUCUGAGAAGUGUAUCUGAAGCAGGAGUUAUUGAAGAUGGAAUGAGAUCAUCAUGGAUGGGUGGGUGAGGAAGUGGGUAAGGGUGAGAGAGCAUAUGGUGAAAAAGACUCCAAUUUUCUAUUAAAUCACUUUGGCUAGCAUGUGAAGAUGGUAUUAGAGGAACAGGAAGAAUAGAAAAGCCGUUCACAGUAGUAUGGUGAAAGAUAAUCUGAGUGAAGGCAGGAGAUGGGCUAGAGAGAAAUAAAUUGAUCAGAAUGCUGCUAAAAAAGAUAGAAUCUAUAGGACUUGCUUUUGGUCAGGGCUUUGCAACUUGCUAAUCCAGCAACUGAUAGGGAAUGUUGGGAGGCUGUGGUUGGAGAAGGUCUUGCUAGGGAGGUGAUUUAAUCAGAGAUCUGAAUGACUAGGGGGUAACUAACCAUGAGGAAAGAGAGAUCUGGGCAGAGGGAAUGUAUUCAUUAUGUUCUGGAUGUGUUAUGUUAAGCUCAAUGUUGGCAUACUUGUUGUUCUUAAAUGUAUUGGAUGGAUGUGUGAACUAAUGUGCAAAUAGGGCUGAUGUCAUUGUUAUUUCUGUUGCAAAAAUAAAUGGAAGCUUUGUAAAUUGCAAA
Long non-coding RNA from Felis catus (domestic cat), 3511 nucleotides. RefSeq lists it as uncharacterized. The record is from RefSeq and is a predicted model, not a curated record. The transcript has 2 exons. Lineage: Eukaryota; Metazoa; Chordata; Mammalia; Carnivora; Felidae.